This is a long non-coding RNA of Folsomia candida, 784 nucleotides long. RefSeq lists it as uncharacterized. The record is from RefSeq and is a predicted model, not a curated record. Lineage: Eukaryota; Metazoa; Arthropoda; Collembola; Entomobryomorpha; Isotomidae. The transcript is spliced from 4 exons.
CGGGCUAAAUUUGAUGCUGGAGGACUGCCGGUGAUCUGAAGUUCGAUCGAAUGCAAAAUGAUUUUCUGGUCAUUCAAUGCAAGUACGACAUCAUUUUCUGGAAUUGUUGCGUCUGGUGAAAUAGCAGAAAAAAAUUGUGCUCCAUAUUUUACAAGUAGUAUGACUGCCCCUUGAGCAUGACCUCUCGACUUGAUGAAUCCCGCAGUUUCCAUAAUUGCUUGGGUGAAAUCACGUCGAAGAGGACCGUCAAUUCUCAACUCACCUACCGCUCUAAGGACAAGAAGCCGUAUAUCAACCCACAUUGUGUGAUUAAUAAUCACUGAUUACAAAUAAAUCAUAAAUAUUUCACAAACUGGAGGAAUUGGUCCACAUUAGGUCCAAUUUGGGACCAUCCAACUUCCUGUUUUAAUUGAACCGCAGGAUUGUCGGGAUUAGGGAAACUUCCCACGGCACCGACAACAUUUGCAAAAUUAUUAACUAGAAAUUGGGCCAAGGCUGGAGGAAUCAUGUUUGCCAAUUGGUAAGAGCCCUACGCACAAUUUGGAAAUUAAUUUAAUUCCAUUUUUAAAAGUGACCGGACCCACUUGCGUCGGUGGGUUUGAAGCGGUGGCAUAAUCCGGGCUUUCUCUUAUCACUUGCAUUAUGCUAAUUUACAAUAUUACAAUGCAUUCUGCUUAUUAUCAGCCAUCUUAUUGUGAGUAUUUUCAUCGCAAAAAUCAACGACAGAGUUCAUAAAGUGGAAAUGCAUGAGAGAAGUUGUCGCCUUAUUUACCACGCUGUCUGG